RNAcentral lists this ribosomal RNA (468 nucleotides) under uncultured bacterium. Its description in RNAcentral is "partial 16S ribosomal RNA". It matches the Rfam family "Bacterial small subunit ribosomal RNA", at positions 28 to 507 of the family's 1533-position model. The record is from RNAcentral.
GACGAACGCUGGCGGCGUGCUUAACACAUGCAAGUCGAACGGAAAGGCCCUGCUUUUGUGGGGUGCUCGAGUGGCGAACGGGUGAGUAACACGUGAGUAACCUGCCCUUGACUUUGGGAUAACUUCAGGAAACUGGGGCUAAUACCGGAUAGGAGCUCCUGCUGCAUGGUGGGGGUUGGAAAGUUUCGGCGGUUGGGGAUUGACUCGCGGCUUAUCAGCUUGUUGGUGGGGUAGUGGCUUACCAAGGCUUUGACGGGUAGCCGGCCUGAGAGGGUGACCGGCCACAUUGGGACUGAGAUACGGCCCAGACUCCUACGGGAGGCAGCAGUGGGGAAUAUUGCACAAUGGGCGGAAGCCUGAUGCAGCAACGCCGCGUGCGGGAUGACGGCCUUCGGGUCGUAAACCGCUUUCGCCUGUGACGAAGCGUGAGUGACGGUAAUGGGUAAAGAAGCACCGGCUAACUACGUG